This is an RNA transcript of Numida meleagris (helmeted guineafowl), 3464 nucleotides long. It is a transcript of the gene named family with sequence similarity 227 member B, with no coding region annotated. The record is from RefSeq and is a predicted model, not a curated record. The transcript is spliced from 11 exons. Lineage: Eukaryota; Metazoa; Chordata; Aves; Galliformes; Numididae.
UCCCUGCCCCGCAGCCCCGCGCCGAGCCGGCUCCUAGCGCGCGCCGCGGCCGCAGAACGCCCCGGAACGCAAAGGGCGGGCUGCGCGCCGCGGGGGAACGGGGCCGGAAGGACGUGGCGGCAGCGCGGUUUGGCGGGAAACGGUUGCUAGGGGCCCUUAGCAACGGCACGCGCCGGCCUGCAGCGCGCGGCCUUUCGCCCUCAGCUCCUGGAACCUUUAGCGUUUCCUGCCCGGUACUUUUUUUUUCACCGAGUGUACGUAACUGCAUGUUAUGGCUGACGCCGAGAGCUGGGGGAUUUUGUCACGGGCAUUCUGGUAAGAACAGUUCUUACUGUAUGUCAGUAGAAAAUGCAAAAGCCUCCUUUGACUUUUGAAGAAUUCCUCCAGUCUCAAGACUUGAAGGACUGGCCAAGAGAUGUCUUUUUGGAUGAGCCUUAUUCUUUGGUGGAUAACUUAAGAAAAGACUGUUCCAUCCGUGCUGUCUCUAAGAGUCUGUAUGAACAUGCUCCAUUGACCUUCAGUUCACUCUCAGAUUUGGAGAAGAGAAUGAACACAUGCCUUAUUGUACUAAAGAAACAUGCUGAAAGAAUAUUUUCAUUACAGUGUGGACCAGCGUCUCUUGAAGAACAGCUAAUUGCUCCUGAACAGAAGAUUCCUACUGAGCAAACUGAUUCAGAAGAACUUCUGACUUGGAAGAGUGAGAUGAGGAAAACAAAGGUGGGAGACCUGAAGAAAAGAUGUCUGGAAUUCUAGUUUGGAAUAUCUUGGCUCUGAGUUGUCAUUACCCUGGUUUCAAGGCAAAACACCUUUUAGAAUUACCAAGACAUUUGGAAGCUUCAAAACUUUGAGACUUAGUUGUAAAAGCUCAACAUUGCCAAAAGGAUGCUCUUGAAGUCUGGAGAAGUUUUUUUCCUCUCAGAAUCAUCUGUUGCAGUGUUUCAGGAUUUGUUUUGGUGGUGAUUUCUCCAAAAGUUUAAGCCUAAUGAGGAAGAUCAGGACCACUUUUUGGACAGCAUCAUGGAAAGCUUUGUGGCGCUUUUUAGUCCUGUUCUCAGGGAUAAUAAAGAUUCUUUUUUUCAGGUGUAUCCUGAUUGCUUGUCGCAAGUCAUUUAUAUCACUUCCUGUGAAGCAUUUCCUGAAUCCCUUAGAAGAUUUGAUGAUGAUUCUAUGGACAGAUUGGUAGAGUUAAUUUUUCAAUGGAUAUGAGGUCUAAGGCCAAGGAAAUGUGUAUGGAAUAAGUGGAAUCUUUAAGGUUACCACUGUAAAUUGUAGAAGCGAAGGUGCUACUGCUGACAUACAAACUAGUGAAUCUGCCAGCUCUGCAGCAGCUCGAAACCCUUACUGCGCUGGUGACUGAGCAACGGAACUCUCCUCAGACUAUCCUUCCUUGGAGACCCUCCAAAUCCAAGUGGACGUGGCUGUGGGCAGCCUGUUUUUGGUGGCCCUGCUGAGCAAGGGGGUUUGGACCAGAGGUGCCUUCCAACCUUGAGCAUUCUCUCAUUUUGUGAUUCUGUAUUGGACUUCGGUUUGAAAACAUUGUGAACUUUGUGACAAGUAUAUGCAUUAUACUUCAUUCUCAUCAGGAAGUAAUUUUCUCUGAGUUGAGCCCUUUUUUCCUCCUCUAUAUUAUGAGUCAAUCUUGUCAAGUGCCAGGACUCUUAGUAAAAGCAUUUCCUAAUGAAAGAAACCUAUUUUGGUGAGCUAUCAUCUGCCUUCUAAACAGAGUUGGAGAAAACCUAUUUUUUAUGUCUGGAAUCUAAGCAGGUUUCGAAUUGUCUGGAAUGCUUGAGAUUUACAAGCUAGCUUUCCUCAGCCAGGUAUUGCGAAGUUCUUUACAGAGCUUAGGUUUUAACACUUGAUGGGUUUCAGUUGCCGUAUGACUGAUUUGCAAAUCAAUCAAUUUGCAAUCAAUUUGGUUUGCAAAUUUUUCUAAUCAAAAUCUGCAGCGCUUUUUUAUAUAAGACUAUUCAAAUAUUUCUGGAUUUCUGCUUUGAAGACAGUUCUAAAUGAAAGGUAUUGUGAAAAUUGAUACACUGGGUGGAUCUGAUCCUGCUUUCUGUUAAACUUUUCCACUCUGUACUAGAGUAGAACAAACUAGGAUGUGUUCCAGCCUUUAAGACUGUUUGUUAAAAUGCCAGAAAAAAAAUUGAAGAGAAUCCAUGAACAAGGGCAAAAUUCUGAUUUUUUUCUCAAUUACUACAUCUCUGUUACUAGGUCAGCGUAAUGAAGGUAUUGCAACAUGCUAGGCCAUAUGACUGUGUGCUACUGCAGGGAUUUGAGCUGGGGCAUCUUUUCCUGAACCAUUCACCUAUGGGCUGUAUGUCAGAUAUGACAGUAAAAUGUAAACCAGCUUUGGCUUACCUAAUAAGGAUGGUAGUAUAAUAAUCCAUUAUAUAAAACAUAGAGCAGUACGUGCAAAUUACCUUUGGGAUUCAAGAAUUGCUUGACUGUAUGCUUAUAUUCUUGCACAACCUAAUCAAAAGAUCUUUAGAAGAACCUCUCUGUAUCUAAUUUAAGCGCUUUUUUUGGCAUAUGUUUGCAUAUGAAUGUACAUACUUGCACACAAGUUUAAACUUCAGUUGAGCUUUUAAGCACAGUCUUGUAGGAGAUUUUGCUCUUUCCAUUUUUAUUUCAAAGCUUCAUCUAAGCUGAUUUGUAUCUAGAAACUUUUGCUAGUAUAUUAAUGUUGAUUGUGAAUAGGAACUUUAUUUCAGUGUUUAUGUAUUCACAGAGAAGCGCAGACGGUUUUCAGCAAAAAAUAUUCUCGGAUAGUACAGACUAUUGUUUCCCCUGAACAAGCAAUAGAUAAAGCAGCAGAAGCACAGUGGAGGUUUACUGAUGUAGUUGUAUUGACAAAUUUUCUGCAUUGUCUCGUUCAUACCUACACUUCAAUUUUUGAUAUGACUAAGUCAAAAUCCACAAGUAAUUUCCAAAUUAUAAUAUUCAAUAAGCAAAUAUUGUUAAAUAUAUACAUAUUUCUUAAAGAGAAUUGUUGCAGGCAGUUCUGUGUGAGUGCAGUUACAAAGGUGUCUCAAUAUGUAGAAAAAAUGUUUGUGUCUACAUACCUGUGCUGAAAAGUAGAGCAUUUAAGUCCAUUAGUAAUUAGACUCCAUCCCAAGUUGGUAAUGAUCAUGCAACAGCUGUUUUAGCUAAAUUUUGGUGAUCUUUGAGCACAAAUCACAAUGCUGAGAAAACUUGUAGGCAAACUGAACAGAAUGAAGUAACUCUUCAGGCACGUAGGGCUUAGUUGAACACUUUGAUACCUAGAGAAGUAAAAUAUCUCUUCUUCAUCAUGUCACGUGGAUCUGGGCUGGUGUUUCAGAUUAGCCAUAUGGGUUCUUACACUGCUCUGUGAGCAUAGGUUCCACCAUCUGAGGAUUUAUUCUGCAACUUUCUUUUACCUAGUAUAACUCUGAGCUGCUAUUAAAUCAACUUGAGUGUGUGGCAAAGAUUUUUUACGUUUU